This 501-nucleotide ribosomal RNA is filed under the name uncultured bacterium. RNAcentral describes it as "SSU rRNA". It matches the Rfam family "Bacterial small subunit ribosomal RNA", at positions 26 to 523 of the family's 1533-position model. The record is from RNAcentral.
AGGACGAACGCUGGCGGCGUGCUUAACACAUGCAAGUCGAGCGGAAAGGCCCUUCGGGGUACUCGAGCGGCGAACGGGUGAGUAACACGUGAGCAACCUGCCCUUAGCUCUGGGAUAGCUCCGGGAAACCGGAAUUAAUACCGGAUAUGACCUAGGCCGACAUCGGCCGUGGUGGAAAGUUUUUCGGCUAGGGAUGGACUCGCGGCCUAUCAGCUAGUUGGUGGGGUAAUGGCCUACCAAGGCGACGACGGGUAGCCGGCCUGAGAGGGCGACCGGCCACACUGGGACUGAGACACGGCCCAGACUCCUACGGGAGGCAGCAGUGGGGAAUAUUGGACAAUGGGCGCAAGCCUGAUCCAGCAAUGCCGCGUGAGUGAUGAAGGCCUUAGGGUUGUAAACCGCUUUUGGUCGGGAAGAAAAGGUUUCUCCGUAACAGGGGGGACUAGUUGACGGUACCGGCAGAAUAAGCACCGGCUAACUACGUGCCAGCAGCCGCGGUAA